RNAcentral lists this ribosomal RNA (468 nucleotides) under uncultured bacterium. Its description in RNAcentral is "partial 16S ribosomal RNA". It matches the Rfam family "Bacterial small subunit ribosomal RNA", at positions 28 to 507 of the family's 1533-position model. The record is from RNAcentral.
GACGAACGCUGGCGGCGUGCUUAACACAUGCAAGUCGAACGGAAAGGCCCUGCUUUUGUGGGGUGCUCGAGUGGCGAACGGGUGAGUAACACGUGAGUAACCUGCCCUUGACUUUGGGAUAACUUCAGGAAACUGGGGCUAAUACCGGAUAGGAGCUCCUGCUGCAUGGUGGGGGUUGGAAAGUUUCGGCGGUUGGGGAUGGACUCGCGGCUUAUCAGCUUGUUGGUGGGGUAGUGGCUUACCAAGGCUUUGAUGGGUAGCCGGCCUGAGAGGGUGACCGGCCACAUUGGGACUGAGAUACGGCCCAGACUCCUACGGGAUGCAGCAGUGGGGAAUAUUGCACAGUGGGCGGAAGCCUGAUGCAGCAACGCCGCGUGCGGGAUGACGGCCUUCGGGUUGUAAACCGCUUUCGCCUGUGACGAAGCGUGAGUGACGGUAAUGGGUAAAGAAGCACCGGCUAACUACGUG